UUUUAUUUGAGAGUUUGAUCCUGGCUCAGGAUGAACGCUGGCGGCGUGCCUAACACAUGCAAGUUGAGCGAUUUACUUCGGUAAAGAGCGGCGGACGGGUGAGUAACGCGUGGGUAACCUACCCUGUACACACGGAUAACAUACCGAAAGGUAUGCUAAUACGGGAUAAUAUAUUUGAGAGGCAUCUCUUAAAUAUCAAAGGUGAGCCAGUACAGGAUGGACCCGCGUCUGAUUAGU
This 237-nucleotide ribosomal RNA is filed under the name Clostridioides difficile. RNAcentral's name for it is "partial 16S ribosomal RNA". It matches the Rfam family "Bacterial small subunit ribosomal RNA", at positions 1 to 245 of the family's 1533-position model. The record is from RNAcentral. Lineage: Bacteria; Bacillati; Bacillota; Clostridia; Peptostreptococcales; Peptostreptococcaceae.